Molecule: ribosomal RNA, 406 nt
Filed under: uncultured bacterium
Lineage: Bacteria
Description: partial 16S ribosomal RNA
Rfam family: Bacterial small subunit ribosomal RNA
Source: RNAcentral
AUUGAACGCUGGCGGCAGGCUUAACACAUGCAAGUCGAGCGAGCGGCGGACGGGUGAGUAAUGUCUGGGAAACUGCCUGCUGGAGGGGGAUAACUACUGGAAACGGUAGCUAAUACCGCAUACAAUCAGAUGUGCCCAGAUGGGAUUAGCUAGUAGGGGGGGGAAUGGCUCACCUAGGCGACGAUCCCUAGCUGGUCUGAGAGGAUGACCAGCCACACUGGAAUGGGAACACGGUCCAGAUUCCUACGGGAGGCAGCGGUGGGGAAUAUUGCACAAGGGGGGCAAUCCGGAGGCAGCCAGGCGGCGGGUGUGAAGAAGGCCUUCGGGUUGUAAAGCACUUUCAGCGAGGAGGCGUUACUCGCAGAAGAAGCACCGGCUAACUCCGUGCCAGCAGCCGCGGUAAUUC